This 489-nucleotide ribosomal RNA is filed under the name uncultured Gammaproteobacteria bacterium. RNAcentral describes it as "bacterial SSU rRNA". It matches the Rfam family "Bacterial small subunit ribosomal RNA", at positions 30 to 509 of the family's 1533-position model. Lineage: Bacteria; Pseudomonadati; Pseudomonadota; Gammaproteobacteria. The record is from RNAcentral.
AUUGAACGCUGGCGGCAGGCUUAACACAUGCAAGUCGGGCGGAAACGAAGAUAGCUUGCUAUCAGGCGUCGAGCGGCGGACGGGUGAGUAACGCGUAGGAAUCUACCUAAUGGUGGGGGAUAGCCCGGGGAAACACGGAUUAAUACCGCAUACACUCUACGGAGGAAAGCAGGGGCUCUUAGGACCUUGCGCCAAUAGAUGAGCCUGCGUGAGAUUAGCUAGUUGGUGAGGUAAAGGCUCACCAAGGCGACGAUCUCUAGCUGGUCUGAGAGGAUGAUCAGCCACACUGGGACUGAGACACGGCCCAGACUCCUACGGAGGCAGCAGUGGGGAAUAUUGGACAAUGGGGGCAACCCUGAUCCAGCCAUGCCGCGUGUGUGAAGAAGGCCUUCGGGUUGUAAAGCACUUUCAGCGAGGAGGAAGGCUGUAUGGCUAAUACCCAUACAGAUUGACGUUACUCGCAGAAGAAGGACCGGCUAACUCCGUGCC